UGUACUUUCAUUAAAAAUAACCAAUGCUGUGUUUUUCCACCAGAAGCAAUGGUAGAUUUUGCUGAGGUUGUCCAACUUGGUGGGAAAGACAGAAUCACAACCUGAUAAUUAAAAAGGGAGCAAGGCAGAGGGGCAGUGUUCUGAAGCAAACGGACUGAGCCAACUGUUGCCAAAUUUGAUCACAAGUCACAUUCACCAUUGAGCCAAACUCCCAGACAGAUGCCAGAAGGUGUGUGGCCAUAGAGUGCUGUGUGUUCAUCCAGGGAAUGGUCAGAUUGCCUGUGUGAAACCCCUGUGUCCUAGGCCUCUGCUGAUCCCUAUUUUAAGGCAGUGGUGUCCUGGUUUUGUUCUCCUCUUGUCUGAGUGAGCUUAACCCUGUAGUGCCUGGUCUGUGGAGCACACAGGGACCCUGCAGGUGGGCCCUGGGAUGGUUACAGGCUUCAUUAGCCACUGGAAGGGAUAUGACGAUAUGCAGGAAAAGGACCGUGUGAACUCAGCAAGCCACAAGUGAAGCCUCUGAGAGCACUCUGGUCUUGCUUAAAGGCUACAAAAUGUACAACUAUGAACAAAGUACAGUCUCUACUUGGACAGGCUGAGUAAGUGGAUAUUUAGACAUAAGAAUCUGGAGGGACUAACGGAGCUGCUGAGUGAUGGAGCAGCUUCUGGAGCAGACCAAGGCACAGGAGCUUUGCCCAGUCCCUACACAGGUCACUGUGCAGGACACCACUGGGGCAGGAGCACAUCCCUGGCCCUGGGCCUGUCUUCAUGGACCAAAUGGUAAAAUUCCAAGGAGCAGGAUGCAAACCCUGUGAACUUCUGAAGACAUUUUCUCACAGAGUGUCCUGGACCACAAAGAGUCACUUUGAACUUAAAAAAUUGAAGAAAAGUGGUUGAUGCAGCAAUUCAUCUCUCAUGUAGUCCAUGUAGCUUAUUUUCACUCCUUCUGGAUGUCC
Neopelma chrysocephalum (saffron-crested tyrant-manakin) is the source of this 953-nucleotide long non-coding RNA. RefSeq lists it as uncharacterized. The transcript is spliced from 5 exons. Lineage: Eukaryota; Metazoa; Chordata; Aves; Passeriformes; Pipridae. The record is from RefSeq and is a predicted model, not a curated record.